RNAcentral lists this ribosomal RNA (450 nucleotides) under uncultured bacterium. RNAcentral's name for it is "bacterial SSU rRNA". It matches the Rfam family "Bacterial small subunit ribosomal RNA", at positions 328 to 794 of the family's 1533-position model. The record is from RNAcentral.
UGUCCAGACUCCUACGGGAGGCAGCAGUGGGGAAUAUUGCACAAUGGGCGAAAGCCUGAUGCAGCAACGCCGCGUGAAGGAAGACGGUUUUCGGAUUGUAAACUUCUGUUCUUAGUGAAGAAUAAUGACGGUAACUAAGGAGCAAGCCACGGCUAACUACGUGCCAGCAGCCGCGGUAAUACGUAGGUGGCAAGCGUUGUCCGGAAUUACUGGGUGUAAAGGGGGCGCAGACGGCGAUGCAAGCCAGGAGUGAAAGCCCGGGGCCCAACCCCGGGACUGCUCUUGGAACUGCGUGGCUGGAGUGCAGGAGGGGCAGGCGGAAUUCCUGGUGUAGCGGUGAAAUGCGUAGAUAUCAGGAGGAACACCAGUGGCGAAGGCGGCUUACUGGACAGUAACUGACGUUGAGGCUCGAAAGCGUGGGGAGCAAACAGGAUUAGAUACCCGGGUAAA